CGGGCGGGGACGGGCGGGGGACCGACCGCCGCGCAGCUCGGGCCGCAGCGCGCAUACACCCGGCCCGGCUCCCGAGGGCGCCAGCGCGGCCCCGGGGAGCGCGAGGAGCCGGCGAGCGCGCGGCCUGCCGUUGGCGGCCUGGUCCGCCACGCUCGGCGCCCACCCGCCCCCGAGGCGGGGUCCAAGCCCCCGGGAAGAUGGUGUCCUGGAUGAUCUCCAGAGCCGUGGUGUUGGUGUUUGGAAUGCUUUAUCCUGCAUAUUAUUCAUACAAAGCUGUGAAGACCAAAAACGUGAAGGAAUAUGUCCGAUGGAUGAUGUACUGGAUUGUUUUUGCUCUCUAUACUGUGAUUGAAACAGUAACAGAUCAAACAGUCGCUUGGUUCCCCCUGUACUAUGAGCUUAAGAUUGCCUUUGUCGUGUGGCUGCUCUCUCCCUAUACCAAAGGAGCAAGUUUAAUAUAUAGAAAAUUCCUUCAUCCGCUUCUUUCUUCCAAGGAAAGGGAGAUAGAUGACUAUAUUGUCCAAGCCAAGGAGCGGGGCUACGAGACGGUGGUCAGCUUCGGCCGGCAAGGACUGGCUUUUGCAGCCACUGCUGCGGUCACUGCAGCCGUGAAGAGCCAAGGAGCAAUAACCGAACGUUUACGAAGUUUUAGUAUGCAUGAUCUAACAGCUAUCCAGGGCGAUGAGCCUGUGGGACAAAGGCCAUUCCAACCUCUACAAGAAACAAAAAAGAAAAGUAAAUCAGUCUCCGGUGAAUCAGCAGGUGUGCUUGUUUGUUUUGAUAUAUUUUUCUUUCACAAUUGGAAUUUUGAGUCCAGGUUAUGGAAUUCCACUGAAAGACGGAGAUGAGAAAACUGAUGAAGAAGCGGAGGGGCCGUAUUCAGAUGAUGAGAUGUUAACACACAAAGGGCUUCGAAGAUCGCAAAGCAUGAAAUCUGUGAAAACCGUGAAAGGCCGCAAAGAGGUUAGUCAGGUACGGUAUGGAUCACUAAAAUACAAAGUGAAGAAGAGACCACAGGUGUAUUUUUAGUCAUCUGCACUUCAAGAAUCCCAAGACAAAUUACACUAACACGUUGACUUUUUUGCUAACAUUAUUCAUUCAGGACUUACACAUUAAAAUAAUACUUUAAAUUGUGGCAGUGAUAGGGUUUAUUUUCAUCAAUUUAAAUAGCUUUUAAUUUCUUUCACCAUUACUUCCAUGUCCAGAAUACGAAAGGUAGUUAUGCAGAGCUUAUUUAUGUAUAUGUAUAUAUAUCUCAGAAAUAAUAGAAAAUUGUGUUACCUGUUUUCAAAUUCCUCAACAACACUGAGUGCCUGGGAUAUUAAGAUGAAACACAAACCCACAGUAUACUUGAGUCUUUUUACGGUUUAAGAUACAUCAGCCUUUGUGCUAUUGUAUUUGUGUUUACCUCUGUUUAUAUUCUAUCUAUCACAUGAGGAUAGUAAUUAAGUAGGCCUCUGAUCCAGCAGUGAUAGGACAAGGGUAUAAUGUAAGAUAACAGCAUGUUUUAUAUAUCCUUUAAAUUUUUACUUUUUUAAUACUUUCUGGUUUUUCCAUCGUCGACUGAAAGUUUUCGAAACAAGUGUUUGAAAGCCUGGUCUCCACAUAGCACUUUUUAUUCCUGACUAGUUUUGCACACUUGAAAAUUGUUUACUUAUUUGCGACUGUACAUUUAAGUUUUAUUGACACUAUACUGUUAUUUGUCACAUCCCGACAUGUCACAUUUAUGCCUUGAAUUUCGUCAUCUCUUUUCCUGUGGGUUUCAUUUGUUAAAUUCAUUAGAUUCUAAUAAUAUGAAAAUACAGCUCAUUGUUCAACUUUAACUAUUUUUAACUCUCUGUAGGUGAGAAGCUGUUUUAAACAUCAACCAGUUUUCCAUACAUCAUAGUUGAACUUAGCAUGUUCUGUUAACACUGGUUACAUUUUCAGCAUUUAAAUAGAGUAGUUUUUGUGAAACAGGGUCAUGAAGUUACCCAACAGUUGGUCCAUUCACAAGCCUAGCACUGAUACGUGCUGCUGAUUUAUAAAUCUAUAUUGACUAGAAUCAUUUAAAUCUCCCGUCUUCUGGCUGAGUUCGUUCCCUGAAGAUAGGUGCCAAUGCAAAAUACAGAUGUUAAUCUUACAUACUAGAAGCUACUAGAAUAGAUAUUAGAAAAAUAUUUUUUUAAUCCAAGAGAUUUUGAAUUACAGAACACGGAGGCUUUUUUAGGUGGCAUUGAUAACUAUGCAUUCUGAAGUCUCUAUUUCUGGUGGUGGUUUUAAUGAUCCGUAGUCAAAUUUGUACAGUUAAUUCAGAUAAUUUACUUUGACUGUUCUGUUUGUCGAAAAGAAAAAGCAGUGAGCAAGAUUUGUGAGAUCGUUGACUUCUCUACCUUUUUAAGAAAUGAAACCAGCUGGCAAUGUAUAUUCAGGACCUCCUCAGAGUGUUGGCAGAGAACAGAAUGUUUAUUUAAGAGUACCUUAGUUUAAUUAAUACAUUGCUCUUGAUACAAGUCUCAAAACAUUUUCUGGACUAUCUCACAUUCUUGAUAUAUAACAUCAAGAAAAAAUUCGCUCAACUUCUUUUCUCCAAAAGUUUAAUUCUAUGAAUAUCUUCAUCUACUUUACCUUGACUAAUUUGUAGCCUUUGAGUUUCGAGAAAAACUCUUUGUGUUCAAAAUUCCUAGGGAUUCUGAUUAUAAAUGCUUGGAAUAUUGCAAAACUCCUUGGAAGGGAGUUUUAUUUAUAUUUCCUCGUACCAGACUUAUUAAUACAAAUGCUACACCGUAUAUGUCUUUCCUGCCUAAAGGCAGUGUCAUCUCAAGUAGCCUGACAAAGUCACGUAAGUGACUCUAUCUAAAAACAUUACCUGUGCGGGCUGUUCUGCUCCAUUUUAUCUUUUCUAAGUCUGAUCUGAGUAUUAAACCUAUUCCUUAAUUAUAGUAAACUCAUAAAUACUGUUCUAAAUUGGAGGCAUUAUUUAUCCCUCUCCACAAAUAAGACAGCACAGGUCGCAUGUCCUUCUCCACACGGUGCUUCCUCUGGUCUGUUUCUACUGUUACAUGCAGUGGAUGUCACUUUGCUGUUCCAUCAUUCCUUUCUCUCCUUUCCUUACAUUUCUGACAUUUUGCUGCUUUUCUCUUGUGUGUGUUUUAGCAUGCCCUUUCCUUGGAACUUUGUGUGAUAAGCUUAUAAAUCUUUGUCUCUUUUAAGGUGGAACAGGUCAGUUUUUGUUUCUCUGCUUUUGAGUCCACUGCUUUUAAAAGAGGUAAAUUUCUCUCUCGACCACAGUGCCUUGUUUUCCCAAUGCCACCAUUUGGUGAAGGGGCAUGAGAUGCUGCGCAAGCCUAUUUAAGGCGAUAUAAUGGUAGCUGUUAAAAUUUAUGCAGAAAUUGUAGCCGGUGUUUUAUUUUAUUAUAUAUUCAUUCAGCUUGUGCAUUAAUAUUAACUGUUCCCCGAGUUUGUUUGGAAGUGACAGUUGAUCUAUUCUUUAGUUUACCGUGUUUUUUCUGGGAUAAAAAAACGAGCCAGAAGUAAGUCUUAUUGCUAAGUAAUUAAUUAUGUAAACCCAUGUAGGUCCCGCACAAGAUUCCCUCCACACAGUUCACUCUAUGUAUGUGGAUUUGGCUAGAAAGUGGUAACUGCCAGCAUUACUGAUUAUAAAUACUUGACUACACAGAUUGAUGGAACAAAAUUAUUAAAGUGUUUUCAGGGAAUUGAAUCCAUAUGUCACCACCAAAGAUUCAUACAGUGUUAAAAAAUAUGUAAAUAUUCCAAAUCUCUGUAAAACACUGGUUAGAUAAAUAUGUCUUCUUUCGUUUCCUUUUUUGAUAACAUAGUUUGAGCUUCUGUAAUACUUGAACUUUUGUGUUAAAAAGAAUCCAAUGCUAUUUCCUAUUAAAUAUGAGUAAUUUGUAUGUUUAAUUGGAAUGGACUAAAUUUUUAUUUUGGUUUUCUUUUAUCAGGAAAAUUAAAGAGUUAAUAUGUAUCGACAAGCAAUUUCCUACAUGUUCCUAUAGGCCAAUUCAUUUGCAAAGCAAUUAGGCAAUUUUGAAAUCAUUGUUACUGUGGUAUGCAGUGUAUAUUUCUUAGUAAACAUCAUGUAAGAGUAAAACUUUCCAAAAGAAAAAUACAGCUUUUUCCUCUAAAUGGUUAAAGAUUUAAUCUUAUAGUAGUAUUCUACAGAUUCGUUGUAUAUUAACUUUUUAAAAAUUGACCAUGAAUUAACAUUUUCUCCUCUAACACCUCUUAAAUCUGUGUACUUUCAUAGUUCAGAGAAAGCUGUUUUGUAAUUUUUUAAACUCUUUGUAAAGGCUCUCUUGAGGCCUAGUAUGGGGGUAAUUUUACAAAUGUGUUUUUUGAAAACUUUAAUAUAAAAUAAACUCAUUUUAUUAGUGA
RNA transcript from Mirounga angustirostris (Northern elephant seal), 4377 nucleotides. It is a transcript of the gene named receptor accessory protein 3, with no coding region annotated. NCBI's taxonomy places the organism in Eukaryota, Metazoa, Chordata, Mammalia, Carnivora, Phocidae. The transcript is spliced from 8 exons. The record is from RefSeq and is a predicted model, not a curated record.